This 465-nucleotide ribosomal RNA is filed under the name uncultured bacterium. Its description in RNAcentral is "bacterial SSU rRNA". It matches the Rfam family "Bacterial small subunit ribosomal RNA", at positions 64 to 507 of the family's 1533-position model. The record is from RNAcentral.
GAACGAGAAAGUGGCUUCGGCCAUGAGUAAAGUGGCGGACGGGUGCGUAACACGUGGGUAAUCUGCCCUUCGGCGGGGGACAACAGUCCGAAAGGAUUGCUAAUACCGCAUACGACGGCAGGGUCUUCGGACCUUGUCGGGAAAGACGGCCUCUCCAUGGAAGCUGUCACCGAAGGAUGAGCCCGCGGCCCAUCAGCUAGUUGGUGAGGUAAUGGCUCACCAAGGCUUAGACGGGUAGCUGGUCUGAGAGGAUGAUCAGCCACACUGGGACUGAGACACGGCCCAGACUCCUACGGGAGGCAGCAGUGGGGAAUAUUGGGCAAUGGGCGCAAGCCUGACCCAGCCACGCCGCGUGAGUGAUGAAGGCCUUCGGGUCGUANAGCUCUGUGGGGAGGGACGAAAAACCCUGUUCUAAUCACCGGGGAAUUGACGGUACCUCCUUAGCAAGCACCGGCUAACUCCGUG